CCAGACUCCUACGGGAGGCAGCAGUGGGGAAUAUUGCGCAAUGGGGGAAACCCUGACGCAGCAACGCCGCGUGAGUGAAGAAGUAUCUCGGUAUGUAAAGCUCUAUCAGCGGGGAAGAAGGAAGACGGUACCCGACUAAGAAGCCCCGGCUAACUACGUGCCAGCAGCCGCGGUAAUACGUAGGGGGCAAGCGUUAUCCGGAUUUACUGGGUGUAAAGGGAGCGUAGACGGCAAUGCAAGCCAGAUGUGAAAGCCCGGGGCUCAACCCCGGGACUGCAUUUGGAACUGUGUAGCUGGAGUGUCGGAGAGGCAGGCGGAAUUCCUAAUGUAGCGGUGAAAUGCGUAGAUAUUAGGAGGAACACCAGUGGCGAAGGCGGCCUGCUGGACGAUGACUGACGUUGAGGCUCGAAAGCGUGGGGAGCAAACAGGAUUAGAUACCCGUGUU
This 445-nucleotide ribosomal RNA is filed under the name uncultured bacterium. Its description in RNAcentral is "bacterial SSU rRNA". It matches the Rfam family "Bacterial small subunit ribosomal RNA", at positions 331 to 792 of the family's 1533-position model. The record is from RNAcentral.